AGAGUUUGAUCCUGGCUCAGGAUGAACGCUGGCGGCGCGCCUAACACAUGCAAGUCGAACGGCACCCACCCUCGGGUGGAGGCGAGUGGCGAACGGCUGAGUAACACGUGACCAACCUGCCCCACGCACCGGGAUAGCCGGGGGAAACCCCGGGUAAUACCGGACGUCCCCGGGACGGCGCAUGCCGUCCCGGGGGAAGCCCAGGCGGCGUGGGAUGGGGUCGCGGCCCAUCAGGUAGACGGCGGGGUAACGGCCCACCGUGCCUACAACGGGUAGCCGGGUUGAGAGACCGACCGGCCAGAUUGGGACUGAGACACGGCCCAGACUCCUACGGGAGGCAGCAGUGGGGAAUCUUGCGCAAUGGGGGCAACCCUGACGCAGCGACGCCGCGUGCGGGACGAAGGCCUUCGGGUCGUAAACCGCUUUCAGCAGGGACGAGAAGAGACGGUACCUGCAGAAGAAGCCCCGGCUAACUACGUGCCAGCAGCCGCGGUAAUACGUAGGGGGCGAGCGUUAUCCGGAUUCAUUGGGCGUAAAGCGCGCGUAGGCGGCCGCGUAGGCGGGGGGUCAAAUCCCGGGGCUCAACCCCGGUCCGCCCCCCGAACCCCGCGGCUCGGGUCCGGUAGGGGAGGGUGGAACACCCGGUGUAGCGGUGGAAUGCGCAGAUAUCGGGUGGAACACCGGUGGCGAAGGCGGCCCUCUGGGCCGAGACCGACGCUGAGGCGCGAAAGCUGGGGGAGCGAACAGGAUUAGAUACCCUGGUAGUCCCAGCCGUAAACGAUGGACGCUAGGGGGGGGGGGGACGAUCCCUCCGUGCCGCAGCACAACGCAAUAAAGCGUCCCACCUGGGGAGAACGGGGCGCAAGGCUAAAACUCCAAAGGAAAUGACGGGGGCCCCGCACAAGCAGCGGAGCAUGUGGCUUAAUUCGAAGCAACGCGAAGAACCUUACCAAGUCUUGACAUCUGCCUGACCGUUCCUUAACCGGAGCUUUCCUUCGGGACAGGCAAGACAGGUGGUGCAUGGUUGUCGUCAGCUCGUGUCGUGAGAUGUUGGGUUAAGUCCCGCAACGAGCGCAACCCCUAUCCUUAGUAGCCAGCAGUCCGGCUGGGCACUCUAGGGAGACUGCCGGGGAUAACCCGGAGGAAGGCGGGGACGACGUCAAAUCAUCAUGCCCCUUAUGCCCUGGGCUACACACGUGCUACAAUGGCGUAAACAAAGGGAAGCGAAGCGGUGACGCUUAGCAAAUCUCAAAAAUAACGUCCCAGUUCGGACUGCAGUCUGCAACUCGACUGCACGAAGCUGGAAUCGCUAGUAAUCGCGGAUCAGCAUGCCGCGGUGAAUACGAAAGCCGGGUCUUGCACACACCGCCCGUCA
RNAcentral lists this ribosomal RNA (1375 nucleotides) under uncultured bacterium. RNAcentral's name for it is "bacterial SSU rRNA". It matches the Rfam family "Bacterial small subunit ribosomal RNA". The record is from RNAcentral.